ACGGGAGGCAGCAGUGGGGAAUAUUGGGCAAUGGGCGAAAGCCUGACCCAGCAACGCCGCGUGAAGGAAGGAGGUCUUCGGAUUGUAAACUUCUUUUAUGAGGGACGAAGGACGUGACGGUACCUCAUGAAUAAGCCACGGCUAACUACGUGCCAGCAGCCGCGGUAAUACGUAGGUGGCAAGCGUUAUCCGGAUUUACUGGGUGUAAAGGGCGCGUAGGCGGGGAUGCAAGUCAGAUGUGAAAUCUAUGGGCUUAACUCAUAAACUGCAUUUGAAACUGUGAUUCUUGAGUAUCGGAGAGGCAAGCGGAAUUCCUAGUGUAGCGGUGAAAUGCGUAGAUAUUAGGAGGAACACCAGUGGCGAAGGCGGCUUGCUGGACGAAAACUGACGCUGAGGCGCGAAAGCGUGGGGAGCAAACAGGAUUAGAUACCCUGGUA
The sequence is a ribosomal RNA, 437 nucleotides long. It matches the Rfam family "Bacterial small subunit ribosomal RNA", at positions 341 to 792 of the family's 1533-position model.